RNAcentral lists this ribosomal RNA (253 nucleotides) under uncultured bacterium. RNAcentral's name for it is "partial 16S ribosomal RNA". It matches the Rfam family "Bacterial small subunit ribosomal RNA", at positions 524 to 776 of the family's 1533-position model. The record is from RNAcentral.
UACGUAGGGUGCAAGCGUUGUCCGGAUUUAUUGGGCGUAAAGAGCGUGUAGGCGGCCAUGCAGGUCCGUUGUGAAAACUGGAGGCUUAACCUCCAGACGUCGAUGGAAACCGUAUGGCUAGAGUCCGGAAGAGGAGAGUGGAAUUCCUGGUGUAGCGGUGAAAUGCGCAGAUAUCAGGAAGAACACCCGUGGCGAAGGCGGCGCUCUGGGACGGUACUGACGCUGAGACGCGAAAGCGUGGGGAGCGAACAGG